Molecule: long non-coding RNA, 737 nt
Organism: Anolis carolinensis (green anole)
Lineage: Eukaryota; Metazoa; Chordata; Lepidosauria; Squamata; Anolidae
Exons: 2
Source: RefSeq, a predicted model, not a curated record
AUAGCUUUAUUUCUAUCAGGUUCUGAGAUUCCAGCAUUGAAACCAGGAUUUUGAGUUCAGAUGAACCAGAAUAAACGUUAAUCAGAAUUUCUGAUCUUUAUGAUAAAAUUGGCUGCCACAUUUUUUGCCUGAUAGAUUUUCUGAAUUGUCUCCAAAGACAAUAUUGUUAAUAGUGCUCUGUAAUCAUACAACCUCUCUGCUAACAGAACAGACUAUCAAAGUUGGGGUUAUCCCUAUCCAUAUAGGAAGACUGCUGGGACACAGCCAAAGUUGGCAGAAGGCACUUAAUGUAACUGAAAUAAGGUGAAUCUCAAAUGAAAGAAAUAAGAGAUAGAAGCGUUCCUAAUCUUGAACCAUUGAACUCUCUCAUUCAGAGAAGGGCAAGCCCAUACAGAAGAGGAUGAAUACCAUAUGAUCAGAAGAACCAUCUACCUCUAAUAGUUCAGCCUUGCUAGGAAAGGAAGCUGUCUUCGGUUCCACUCAGAGAAAGACAGCAUACAAAUGCAAUGUGCUUUGGAAGUCUUCUGUGCUCACUAUGUUAGACGAUUUACUUGUCCUGGGCAGGUGAGAACUCGAAUAAAGAUACGGAGCUAAGGAAGGAGAGGUGGGGGUUGUGGGUUUGUCUUGUUGCGCUGAACACCUCAAUCGAUGACCCAGAGACUACAAGGUAAGCAUAGGAAGCAAAAAGGUUAGUAAGAAUGGGAUUGUCAUAAGUUUACAGGUCACUUGAAGGUACA